This is a long non-coding RNA of Dicentrarchus labrax (European seabass), 499 nucleotides long. RefSeq lists it as uncharacterized. The transcript has 2 exons. NCBI's taxonomy places the organism in Eukaryota, Metazoa, Chordata, Actinopteri, Moronidae. The record is from RefSeq and is a predicted model, not a curated record.
AUUGUGAAUUUCUGCCAAAAUCAUGUAGCAUCUCUGGCUGGGGAAGUACAGACAGGGAAAUAAAACAUAUGCCUCCUGUAUUCAUGGAAGUCAAUGUAACAUUCAUUGACAAUGAGUGGUGUCAUAAGGAAAACUCGUACUGCUGAGGGAGAGACUGGACCGGGGGGACUCUGGAGGUCCAUUGGUCUGCAAGGGUGGGAUGGCAAAUGGUGUGGUGUCGCAGGCUUCAAACCAACAAAAAUCUAUUGUUAUUCCAAGAUUCCUGACUACAGACGCUGCAUUGAUUCAAUUAUGAAGAAUCAUGACAUGUAACUGAUUGAUAAAAUCAUAACAGUUGGAUUCACAGUUUGUAUAGAGAGCUGUUAAUUGAGAUGCUAAUAUCAAGACUGAUUCCAUUGCACUGAGACGGUUUGCUUCACACAGAUGUAAUCCUAUCCUUUACUUUGAUGUUACCAAAUGAUACAAAUAAAUCUGUUUCAAAACAUGGAAAAUAUACAAA